UGGCUCAGGACGAACGCUGGCGGCGUGCUUCAUACAUGCAAGUCGAACGAGAAGCUUACUUCGGUAAGUGGAAAGUGGCGGACGGGUGAGUAAUAUGUAGAGAAUCUGCCCUAAAGAGGGGGACAACAGAGGGAAACUUCUGCUAAUACCCCAUAUGCGCGUAGUUGAGAUACUAUUCGUGAAAGAUUUAUCGCUUUAGGAUGAGUCUGCAUCUGAUUAGCUAGUUGGCGGUGUAAUGGACCACCAAGGCGACGAUCAGUAGCUGGUUUGAGAGGAUGAUCAGCCACAAUGGGACUGAGACACGGCCCAUACUCCUACGGGAGGCAGCAGUAGGGAAUUUUGCGCAAUGGGCGAAAGCCUGACGCAGCCAACGCCGCGUGAUCGUAGAAGCCCUUCGGGGUGUAAAGAUCUGUCAGUAGGGACGAACAAUGACUGUACCUACAGAGGAAGCACCGGCUAACUCCGUGCCAGCCGCUGC
This 478-nucleotide ribosomal RNA is filed under the name uncultured bacterium. RNAcentral's name for it is "bacterial SSU rRNA". It matches the Rfam family "Bacterial small subunit ribosomal RNA", at positions 20 to 518 of the family's 1533-position model. The record is from RNAcentral.